AAAGGAAGAAAAGGGAAGAAAAGAAGAAGAACAAAACCCUAGCUAAGAAAUUCAAGGGAAAAUCAGUAGAUUUCAAGGAAUCAAGACAUCAAAGGUGAAAUUUCUUAAAUCUAGCUUGUGAUCUAUCUUUCCUAUGCAUUCUUUUGCAUUUUCCAUGAUUGAAUCACAAGAUAUCAUGAAGGAUUCAUGGCUGAUUGAAUUUAGAAGAGAGAUUGAUGAUUUAUUUGGUUAGUAUUUUGAGUAUUAUUUUAGUUNCUUCAUGGAUUCUUCAUUGGCCAAAUUUCAUAAAGAAAAUAUUGAAGAUGAAUCUUGUGAUGUCUUAUGUUAUUUAGUUAGAAUAUAAUGAAUUGUGGUGGUGGAAACCAAAAAUGGUAAUGCUUAGCAUGAAAAACCGUAUACCCCUCAAGAACCUCCAUGGCCGAAUUUUUCAAGAGAAAAUGUGAGGACGAUUUUGCCACAUUUCAAGUUAUUUAAAUUGUGUUUAAUGAUUUGGAUUAUUGGGAGAGAAAUGGAAUUGUUUGGAGUUGAAUUGGACGUAUUGGCCAACUAAUCGGGUGAUAGAUCAAAUUAGGCCAAUACCAUUUUAUUUAGGUACAUAAUUGAAUUUAUAUUGAACACCGUAUUUAGAUAGUUACCCGAGUAUUUCACAUCCAAUUUCGUGCAUUAGUAUAGAGCCUUAAUUGGUUUUACACCGGAAAGUUAUUCACGACUCUAGCACACAUAUUAAUCUUUUCUAAGGGUAUUUAUCAUAUUCAACCAUCAUUUCCACACCAAUAACCUAGCAUAUGGUAGCAAUUAUAAUUUACUUCCAUCAAGCAUUUUUUAAAUCCACAUGCACCACAAUUUACAUCUACAUGCUGCCAACAAUCAUAAUAUCAAUAUUCAUUCAUGCACACCAAUAUUCAUAGCCUUUUAAACCUAUCACAACAACACACAUUCACACAUUACAUUGUUCUAAACUUUAAACUACCAAAAUUGUUCCUAACCGUACCCACAACAUCACAUUAACAUCACACUUUGCAUGUCUUACCACUUCUCUGUCACCUUAAUUCCACUAGACACCCAUAGGUUUGGUGGCUUGCAUGUCACCAAAUGGUCUCCAAAUCUAGCCAAUCUUUGAUGCCACAAGCACAAACAAUCAACAUAUAUUUCAUUUUUCCUUUUUACUUGUGAUUUAGAGGUUAACACUUACCCACUACAUAAUCUAGCUCAAAACCACCAUGCAUUCCAAGAUUCUUCCACAUGCAUGCCUCAGGUUCCUUGGAUCUUUGUUGAUCCUUGCUACCACAAACAAAACCUCACAGUAUAAUUGGUUCAAAAUGCAUGCAUUCAAACAAAACAACAAUUUCUACCUUCCUUACCUUGAAAUCUUCAAGACAAACCACCAAAAUCUUUCCAAACCUCAAUAAUGGUGUAUGGGUGGGGAGGAAAACCUCUCAAUUUUCUCCUUUCUCCUCAAAGGUCAAGCCCCCCUCCAAGUUUUUCUUCUCCUUCUUUCCUUCCACUUUCUCCUUUCUUUGUUUUCUUUCUCUUUCUCUAUUUUCUUUUUCUUUUUUUCUUGCUCUCGAGUGGAAUUUUUUCAAGCUUUCUUUCUUUCUUUCCUUCUCUGAAUGGUUGGCCUUCUCUCUCAAUUUCUCAAGCUAACCACAUUUCUCACUCUUUUACUCACUCAUAGGCACGGUUUUGCUAAGCCUUCAAGCCAUUUUCUUUUUCCUUUCUCUUUCUUUUUAAUUGUUUAUUACAUUGCCACUCAUUUGGACUAAUCACAUUUCAUGCAUUCUUUUUCUCUUCUUUUCAUUUGGCCAACUUCCAAGAUCAAUCAAAAUACAUGCAUCAAUUUCCUUUUAUUCUUAUUUGGCCAUUUUGCUAACCAAUAAGCUUUCAUGCACCAAUUUCCUUUCUUCCACAUUAGCUAAAUAUCCAUCCUUCAUUAUCCUUUAUUUCUUUAUUCCACCACUCAUACUUCAUGCAGAACUUAAUCUUAUAUUUUAUUUGGUCUUCUAUUAAUUUAUUCAAGUCAUAUACACAUCAAAUCUUCCUUUUCUUAUUUGGCCAGCUAAUGCACCAAUACCAUAGCAUGCAAAAUAGAUUUAGUCUUACUUUUACUAUUUUUCCUUUUUACCAUGCAUGGUGGGGGGCCCACAUGUUCCCCACUAACUUCCUCCUUUUUACAUGCAAUCAUUUGCAUGUAAUAGUGAGUUUUUGCAUGCAAGUUCCAUCAUUGCACAUAAUUUAACUUCCCUUGGUUAGUAAAUUUCCACUUAGCUUCAAAUUAUAGUAAUUGUACAUAAGUCUUCGACUUUUCCUUAUUUACCAUUUGUCCCAUCAAACUUUUCAUCCUUUACAAUUUAAUCCUCUAUCAUUUCUUUUAAUUCCAAUUUCUUCUUAUCUUUCUUCCUUUACAUGUAUACAAUUAAAAUAUAUAACUUGAACUUCACUAAGAUAUCACCAUAAUAUUUAAAUAUAUACUUACUUGCUCGUGCUCUAUUAAAUAAAGACACGCAGGUCCCACUUACGUCGUUCUUCUUCAAAAAUUCUCUCCUUCUUCUUUUCCCCCACUUAAAUUGACCUUAUAAUCCUCUUCCAUGACUAAUCUGGACAUCAAAUAAAAUAUUAAUAUUAUUUUAUUUCAAAAUUUUUCACUUGUCUCCUCGGGUCUCAAAACGUCCUAUUAUGCCCCGAUUCACUUCCAAAUCACCUUUUAAUGCGCUAAUUCAUCCUCGAUAAAAAUGUUAUUAUUUAAUUAUUAUUUUCACGGGUGCGAAAUAUUUUACUCUUGAACAUUCUUUUCACCCUUCACUGCUCUUUAGCGCAUAAAUUCACGUCAAUUAAUCCUUCGUCUUACCGAUACGGUUAUGUUAACUACUAUACGGGGAUACAGGGUGUUACAUCUUUGAUUAGGAUUUUCUUCCUUUGUUUAAAAAAAUGAAUUUAAAAAAUUAUUGGAUUAAGAUUGGUUUAAAUCAAUCCUUAAUCCAUUUAGUUGUUCUUUCAAAACUUUUCUUAUUAUUAUCAUUAUCUUUUUUUUUUGUUUUCAAAUUUCUAUUAUUGUUUAUUAUUUAUAUUUUUCUAUUUUUUUAUUUUUUAGUUUUUAUUUUAUUUAUUUUUAUUAUUAUGAUAACCUCGGUCAAAUGGGUUUACAUAUGCCUUUUUUUGCGCAUUUCUUAAGAAUCAAGAAUUGUGCAAAGAUGUAGACACCAUUUUGGUUGGACUAAGAAAAACACCUCAUCUUUAAACGAGUCUAUACAAUUUUUAAAAUAAUUGAAAAAGCUAACCAAAAGAAGAGCGAAUUGGUUUUCAAAAUAAAAUUUUGAUCUUUCUUUAGAACUGAGUUAAAUAUUUAAACUUUAAGUACUAAGCUUGAAAACUAGAAUAUGCGAGCUUGUAAAAAUAAAGUAUGGAGCAAGUAAAGAAGAUGAAAGAGAAGAAAAUACUCCACCGUGAUUUUUAUUGAUUGUUAUAACCUAAACUCGUGGGCCAUGAUCGACGCAAGGGUAUCGAUGGGAUUGAUCCUCUUAACCCAAGCAAGCCUUGAAACAAAUAAACUAAGCACUCAAAUGUCCAUCAUGGGACUCAUCCCAUGAAAUAUUUUACAAAGAAUGUAUAAUUAUAUCCUUAUCAAACAUCAGAAUAUCAGUUUGCACAAUUUCAUGUUAAGUGUGGAAGCAUUACAAAUACAAAGUUCAAAUUAUAAGCCACCUUGGGCAAAUUCGAGUGUAAGCCAUUUCAUGGCAAUCUUAAAGUAUAAUAUUUAUUUACAAAAUGUAAACAACAUCUAAAAUCUGUUAUAGACAAACAUAAUAGAUAAACCAGUAGAGUAUAACUAAAAGUAAAGGGGAUGACACUUACUAGAUGCUUUAUCUAUCACUUACCAAAGCAAUUGUAGAAAUAGCUUUUCCCAAAGGACAACAAGCCAAGCAAUCUCCUGAUCUAAAACAACAAAUGCAUCUUACAUGUUUGAGUUAUAAAAAAACUCAAUGUGCAAAUACAAGGAAGGGGAAUAAGCUAAACGAGAGAGUGUUUAUCAAAGAUACUUUCAAAAUCAUGUAACUAAUCUAUUUCCAAACAAUAUCAAAGUCCACCUAUCAGGCGUAUCAAUUAUCCAAAAGAUUUCAAGAGUUUGCUUCCCGAGUGAUGUCAAAUGUCAAAGGGUGCAAGUCACUUCCAAUCAUGAUCAAUUAUUCAAAAAAUCUCAAAACUUCAUUUCAAACGAAUGCAAAUUUGUUUGAAAUGUUUUAAAUAAAUUUUAGUUUGAAAACCCAUUCACAAGCCUUUGACAUGAAAUUAAUUAUUUAUAAAACAUUUUAAGUAUUUCAAAUGAAAACAAGUUUUUAAAAUCGAUUUAAAAAUGUUUGGAGCAGAAUCAAAGUGUACAAAGUUUAGUUCUAAAACAAAUUCAUUACAUUUAGAAAAUCCUUUGAAGACUAUUUGGAUUCAUAAAUAAGUGUGAUCUAUCCAUGAUCAAAUAAUCAAAGUCCAAACACCAAAGUCAAAACAAAUAUUAAAACUCCAAACCAAAUAUACCAAAUAUCAUUUCAAAUAGAUUGUGGAGAACUGGAUAGAAAAGAUAAUGAAAACAAAGUGCUAUAACACCAAAGUGAUCAAAUACAUAAUAGUCAUCAAUCGUGUAACAAAAGGGGUAGAAUCACAUCAACUAUCGAACAAAAUAAAACUAAGCACUGUGCACAAUGGCUAAUGGUUAUUGUCACCACCUAUAAGUCCAUAACUUAAAUAGGCUCUACUAAAACAUUUUUAUGAGUUUCCAAAUAUCUAAAUGUUCAUUUCUAAAUGAAAGGGUGAAUCCAUUCAUCAUCAAAACAAAAGGGGUUGAUAAAAAGCUAAAUCAUCUUAUCCAAGAGUCCAUUCAUCAACAAAAUCAAAGGGUCCAAAGCAAAACAAAAUUCAUGAUUGUUAGAUCACAAGCUUGAGAUAAAGUAACCAAGAAGUGGUGAAUUGGUUCUUUAAGAAAAAUUUAAUCUUUCUUGAAAACAGAGGUAAAGAUGAACACUUUGAAAGCACAACUUAAAAAGCAUAGUGUGAAGCUUAAAAGAUGAAGAAUAAAGCAAGUAAUGAGUAUAAAGGAGAAAAGAAAAACUCAGCCAUAAUUUUUAUAGAGGUUCAACCCUCAAAGCUUACAUUUUCUCCUUUGAUAACAUCAGGAGUUUAAAUCCACUAUCAACUGCCUUUCUCAACCAAGUUCAACCAUAACCUUUACAAGUAACUACCUUUUAAGGAUCAAGCACAACCUUUACAACAAUGACUUUUAAGGAUCAUGCACAACCUCUUUACCUUUUUCAAAGAGGUAUACCUUUUCUACCUUUUUCUAUCGAGGUAUAACUUUACAAUAGUGGUUUACAAACCUCCCUAAUGGUUGAUGAGUUGAGUUUAGUAUAGGAGAAUGAAGAUGGAUCAAGGAAUGUAAGCUCAAGAAAUGAUGCUCUAUUUUUAAGAGUUUGCCUUGGACAAGAGAAAGGAAUGAACUUUUUGCUUUCUUUUCAUCACAGAGUGAUUUUCUUGCUCUAUUUUCUUUCUUAUUGUUAUUCUCAUUUUAAAAAGUCCUUCAUAAAGUUAUUCAUAAGUCUUCUAAAUUUUUGCCUGUUAGAGAGAAAUGUUGCUCAAUUUUCAAAAGUUAGGGCCACUUGAAUUACGUCAGUCGACCUUUAGGAAUCGGUCAAUGGACAUUUGAGAAGUCGAUUAUUUUGUAACUCGAGACAUUCUUUUUUUUGAGAAUCAACUUUUUUACUCUUGAGAUAUUGAUUCUUCUUGCUUCAAUUUGAGUGUGAUGAUUUUUGUGUGCCAAGAAUCGAUCAGUGUGUUUACGAAUAAUUGAUUAUUCUUGUCUCACUUCAAGUUGGGAGUAUUCUAUUUUGUGAGAAUCAAUCAUUGCCUUCUCUAGAAGUUGAUUCUUCUUAUCUAUUGAGCGCUAAAUUGAAAUGUCAAAUUCAAUUUUUUUCGCUCUAGAAAUGAGUAAGGAUCCCAAUAGCUUAUCAAGUCUAAGUUUGUUUAAAUUUUUUGCCUCCAAGACUUAGGAAGGCAAUAUAGGAUUUUCUUCACAAGUUGGGCAUUGGGGAACUCUUUACACAAAACCUUUAGUCCUCUUAUUAUUUUGGUGCACCUUUUAUACGUCUCAUUUUCAAUCCAUCCUCUUUCAUUUUGAAAAGCUCAUGAUCUAGAGUAAAAAAUCCAAUCUGAUUAUUUGACUUGUGAAGUACUUUCAUAGCAAUUUUCUAAGGUAUCUAAUAUCUCCUCAGUUAAUGUGCAUAUUGCUACUUUAUUAAACUCACUAUUGCUAAGUGCACAUUGCAAAGUAGUCACAACUUUGUGAAUAAGCUGAAUCAAUUUUCUAUCCUUAUUAUCCUACUCAGCUCUAGUUUUAAUAUGUCUCACACCUUCUACUAGCUAGCUAGGGACAUAAGGUCCUUUUAAAAUAACAUCCCCCAUAGUUUUAAAUUAAUAGAUUGAACGAAGUUUUCAAAUCUUAUCCCCCAAAAUAGAUAGUGUCACAGCCCAAUCUUGGACCAUGACCGACGCAUGGACCCAAUAGGCAUAGCCCAUCCGGCCCAAGUAAGCCUUUUUAUAAAAACUUAUUCAGUAGACCAUCUGUCCCUUUUUUACCUCUAAGGUUCUUAAUUCAUUGUUUUCAAAAAUAGUUUCCUUUUGGAAAUAAGUCAUGGCAAUUGAACAAUACCAUUCACAAAAUAAUAUUACCAUUUGCCAACCUGUGACAACAUUAUCAUGCAAACCAAGCAUACAAUGUUUACAACAAAUCCAAUGAAGUACAUUUAAAUAACCAUAUACACAUACAAAGACCUUGACUAUCAGCGGAGUGACUCUGGUGUGGAUACUAUCAUGGAGUGUUAUGGUAAACCUACCGUAAGAGAAACAGGAGGAAGUGCCUCUACCUAAGAUCCCACUAUCUUCGAACCUAAAAACUAAAACAUGAAGUUGAAAAGGAUGAGUAUAAACCCAAUGAGUGAACAUAGGAAGGGAACAAGCAAACGAUACGGAGAGCUUUUCGAAAACAUGAUUCACUUGUUUAAAAACAAUGCAAUUUUGUAUAUUAUGAACAAAACCCGAUGUCGUGCUAUUUUUUAACUCAUUUUUCAACUCAUUUUAACUCAUUCUAACCCCCUGCACCCGAGAGUUUCUUGCUGCAGUGAGAAUGAAUUUCGCUGCAGUGAGAAACAGGGCAAUGAACUUACAAGAAUUCUUGUCACAACGAAAAUCCAUUUUUUUGCUAUAGUGAAAAUCAACUAGAAAGCAUUUGUCAAAUUUGAACAUUCAAUAUUCAAUGCAAGCACAUAAUACUUUCCCUAACCUCUCUAUGUAUGUGUACACAUGUAUACAACUCCCAUCUCACUAGCUCAUGUGCACUUCCACACCGCACAUAGCUAGAAUCAUCCUGUGCACUCCCACACCGCAAAAGGCAAUAUCAUCAUGUGCACUAUCACCUUGCACAUGGCGUAUAUCAUUAGUGUGUGCACUCACAUAGCACACCACUAUCACACAUAUGGCAUAUAUCAUCAGUGUGUGCACUCACACAGCACACCACUAUCACACACAUGGCAUUUAUCAUCAGUGUGUGCACUCUCACUACACACCACUAUCACCAUCAUGUGCAUUCCCACACCACACAUGCAUGGUUACAAUUGUCACCCAAUAGUGCCAUUCAAUGCCUGACAUACAUGUCAACAUAAUGUAAAACCACAUGAGUUCAUCACAUUCAUAUUUCACAACAUAAAAAUGUUUCAUCAAGGGCUUGUUCCCACGCAUAUUUAGAGAAAAGUUCAAUAAAAAGUUUUCAAGUGAGUCAACCAAAUACAUAUGCAUGUAUCCCAAAACAUUUUAAUGCAAGUUCACUCACCUUAAUGCCACCUUACAAACUAGUGCCCACAAAGUCUUAAUCCAAGUAGUCCUAAAAUACCGUUAAAACCUAUAUUUACCACUAAGCCAUAACAACCUCCAUCAAGUCAUAAUUUGAACUCAAUAAUUCUAAUAAAUAUCCACUAUACAAUCUACAUUCUAACCCAACUUUUAACCUAGAAUACUAGUCUAAUUCACAAACCCAUUAAACUAAUUGUUCAAGUUUGAAGUUUCUUUACCUUGGUGCUUGAAAGUAUAAAGAUCAACCAAACCUAGAUAUUUCAAGGAAAGAAAAUUUGAAGAAACUUAGAAAAUAAAGUUUAAAAAUUACAAACCCAUAAAAUUCAAAAAUUCAAGGGUUGAAAAUAUAUACCUUUUAGCCUUAAAAAUGAAGAUUUGAAGCAAAAAAUCCAAGUGUUGUUGUCACAGCCCAAAUACCGAGCCAUGACCGGCGCAUAGGCCUAAUGGACAUAGCCCACUAAGCCCAAGCAAGCCUAUUUAUGCAAUUCCGAUUAUCAUUCCCAUCCAUCAUCUUUAAAAUGAAGUGUUGUAACUCUCAAAAGUAAAUGUUCCAGUAAUAUUUUAUAACAACUGAAUAUUCAUAUUUAUAUUAUAUCAAAGUACUGUCAUCAUCAAUCCAACAUAUACAUACUUCAUUUAUAGCAUGACUCUUAGUAGUUUACAUUACAUAUACAUGUUCACAAGUAAUGACUCGAGACCAUUAGUGGAGUGACUUUGAGUGAAGAUACAGCUAUUGAGAUGCCAUAGUACCUACCAAGAAGACGAACAUAUGUGUGUGACUCAAUCUAGGUCCCAACUGCCUCCAAAUCUAAAAACAUGAAUUUUAAAAACAUGAGUAUGAAACUCAGUGAGUGAACAUAAGAAGAGAACAAGUAAUCAAUAGGAAGAAUUUGGAAAUCAUAAUGCACUAGUUUCAAAAACAAUGCAAUUGAUUUAAUUUCUUACUAAAAACCCCUCAUUUCAAACUUUGAUUAAUAACCUCAUAGUGUUGCAAUAACCCAUGAUCAAUCCACAAAGUUAAAUGGGUGAAAAAUAUGUCAAAAAUUGAAUAGGGUAGCAUGCAGGACAGAAUGUUUCUCGCUAUAGCGAAGUUCAUUCUCGUUGCAGCGAGAAAUAGUAUCAGUUUGCAUAUGUUUUAGUUUUUCCAGUAUAUCUUUCGCUACAGAAGUCCAAUUGACCUGAUUUUUAGACCAUUAGAAAUCUAAGAGGUAGGGCUACAACUUUAAUUUUUACCACUUUUCCCAGUUCGGACUAAAAAGUGGCUAAAAUCUUCAUCAAAUUGAAGGUACUACAUCAAAACCUGAGAGUUUCUCGCUGCAACGAGUUUCUGGCUGCCAAAACAGAAUAUUUCUUGCUGCAGCGAGAAGCAGGGCACCUAAGUGUCAAAAGAACCUCCUUUGCACUAAAAAUCCAUUUGGUGUUGCAAUGAACUCAAUUUGCAAGAAAAUGGGACAUUCUCAAGAUUCAUCAUGCCAAUUUCAACAUGGAAUGGUCAAAAGUUUCCAAAGUUCAACAUGCCAAAAUUUCACAUGCAUUACAACCAUAUACCAUAUAUGUAUAUAUANNNNNNNNNNNNNNNNNNNNNNNNNNNNNNNNNNNNNNNNNNNNNNNNNNNNNNNNNNNNNNNNNNNNNNNNNNNNNNNNNNNNNNNNNNNNNNNNNNNNNNNNNNNNNNNNNNNNNNNNNNNNNNNNNNNNNNNNNNNNNNNNNNNNNNNNNNNNNNNNNNNNNNNNNNNNNNNNNNNNNNNNNNNNNNNNNNNNNNNNNNNNNNNNNNNNNNNNNNNNNNNNNNNNNNNNNNNNNNNNNNNNNNNNNNNNNNNNNNNNNNNNNNNNNNNNNNNNNNNNNNNNNNNNNNNNNNNNNNNNNNNNNNNNNNNNNNNNNNNNNNNNNNNNNNNNNNNNNNNNNNNACCUUAAAAUCAAAUUCUAACUCAUUUCUCACCUUGGUGGUUUUUUUUUGUAGUUGAAUUCAUUUUCAAAAGCUUCCAAGCUACUAUGGCAAGUCUCUCUUUCUCUCUCUAAAACUUUCAACUAGUGAAAGAAAGUGCUAAACAAAGACUUUUUGAGGGUUUUAAGGUGUAAAAGUGGAAGAGCAUGAAAAACCGUAUGAAAGAGUGGGCAAAAGCAUGAAAUUUGGAGCUAGAGAGAGAAAGUUAUGGAAGUUGCAAAGCAAGCUUCCAUAGAGGAUGGAAGCAACGUGAGA
RNAcentral lists this long non-coding RNA (10084 nucleotides) under Theobroma cacao (cacao). Its description in RNAcentral is "long non-coding RNA (TCAC_LNC001910)". The record is from RNAcentral. Lineage: Eukaryota; Viridiplantae; Streptophyta; Magnoliopsida; Malvales; Malvaceae.